UUUAAAGUCAUUUUUAUUGAGGCGUGAUUUGGGGUGUCCUGAUAAGAAGAGGAGCUGAGGACACAGACAUGUCCAGCGGGACCUUGGGAGGACAUAGAGGGAAGACGCCUUCUGCAAACCACUGAGAGAGGCCUCGAGGAACCAGCCCUGGCCGACACCUUGAUAUGGGACUUCCAGCCUCCAGGACGAUGCGGUCUCUACCUGGCCUCCCCCAUGUUGACUGCUUUUGUACUGCACCCAUGGAGACAAAGAAAAGACAAAGAAGACGGAACCUCCAUGUUGAAUAUACCUGGUUCCAGGGCGAGGUUCAGCAAUUACAAUAGUGACAUCAGAGAUCGCUGAUAACAGAUCAUCAUCACAGAUGUGAUAACAAGAAAAAAAUGAGAUAUUUUUAUCAUUGAUGUGAUGGCAAAUAUUGAGUAUCAACUUGAUUGAAUUGAAGGAUGCAAGGUAUUAUUCCUGGGUGUG
Homo sapiens (human) is the source of this 468-nucleotide long non-coding RNA. RefSeq lists it as uncharacterized. Lineage: Eukaryota; Metazoa; Chordata; Mammalia; Primates; Hominidae. The record is from RefSeq and is a predicted model, not a curated record. The transcript has 3 exons.